UACGGAGGAUGCGAGCGUUAUCCGGAUUUAUUGGGUUUAAAGGGUGCGUAGGCGGGCAUUUAGGCCGGCGGUCAAAUGUCGGGGCUCAACCCCGGCCUGCCGUCGGAACUGGGUGCCUUGAGUGGGCGAGAAGUAUGCGGAAUGCGUGGUGUAGCGGUGAAAUGCAUAGAUAUCACGCAGAACCCCGAUUGCGAAGGCAGCAUACCGGCGCCCGACUGACGCUGAGGCACGAAAGUGCGGGUAUCGAACAGG
RNAcentral lists this ribosomal RNA (252 nucleotides) under uncultured bacterium. Its description in RNAcentral is "partial 16S ribosomal RNA". It matches the Rfam family "Bacterial small subunit ribosomal RNA", at positions 524 to 776 of the family's 1533-position model. The record is from RNAcentral.